RNAcentral lists this ribosomal RNA (485 nucleotides) under uncultured bacterium. RNAcentral's name for it is "bacterial SSU rRNA". It matches the Rfam family "Bacterial small subunit ribosomal RNA", at positions 33 to 507 of the family's 1533-position model. The record is from RNAcentral.
GACGACGCUGGCGGCGUGGAUUAGGCAUGCAAGUGAACGGUAGGAUACCUUCGGGUAUCUGAGAGUGGCGAACGGGUGAGUAACACGUAGGUGAUCUACCCUCAAGAUUGGGACAACCCAGGGAAACUUGGGCUAAUACCGGAUGAAAGCAGCAGUGAUGUUGUUUGAAAGGUGGCGUAAGCUGCCGUUUGGGGAUGAGCCUGCGCUCUAUUAGUUAGUUGGCGGGUAAAGGCCCACCAAGGCGAUGAUAGAUAGGCGGCCUUAACGGGUGGUCGCCCACACUGGGAUUGAGAUACGGCCCAGACUCCUACGGGAGGCAGCAGUCGAGAAUAGUCUACAAUGGCCGAAAGGCUGAUAGUGCGACGCCGCGUGAACGAAGAAGCCCUUCGGGGUGUAAAGUUCUUUUAUAUGUGAGCAGUGCUUUCUAUGUGAACAGCAUGGGGAGAGAGAUAUUAGCAUAUGAAUAAGCAACGGCUAACUCCGUG